Molecule: ribosomal RNA, 253 nt
Filed under: uncultured bacterium
Lineage: Bacteria
Description: partial 16S ribosomal RNA
Rfam family: Bacterial small subunit ribosomal RNA
Source: RNAcentral
UACGUAGGGUGCGAGCGUUGUCCGGAAUUAUUGGGCGUAAAGGGCUCGUAGGCGGUCUGUUGCGUCAGGAGUGAAAACUCGGGGCUUAACCCCGAGCCUGCUUCUGAUACGGGCAGACUAGAGGUAUGCAGGGGAGAACGGAAUUCCUGGUGUAGCGGUGAAAUGCGCAGAUAUCAGGAGGAACACCGGUGGCGAAGGCGGGACUCUGGGCCGAUACUGACGCUGAGGAGCGAAAGCGUGGGGAGCGAACAGG